Non-coding RNA from Microcebus murinus (gray mouse lemur), 645 nucleotides. The record is from RefSeq and is a predicted model, not a curated record. NCBI's taxonomy places the organism in Eukaryota, Metazoa, Chordata, Mammalia, Primates, Cheirogaleidae.
UGUGGCUUCUCUAAGGACCUCAAGAAGAUGGGGAGCAGGCAUGAGAAGGACAAGUGAAAGCAUUUCAGGGACAGUCAGGGGGAGGGAGUGCUAGGUCCCAACACCCAGCAGGGCAGGAGCCCAGGUGUGUGCAGGGCUGGGAGGAGGGCGAGGGACUUCAGAGAGGAAUGAUCUGGAGCCAUCAAUAAGCUUCACGGUGACUCAAUUUUCUAUCUGUGCUACUGGUUUUAAAAGUUAAAGCAGGGGUCUCCUUGCAGCGAUACACCAGAGCAGAGUACUUGCUGCGGCGGCGGGAGUCAUGGGAGGACAAGCAUUUAGAAAGUUUCUUCCGGUUUUUGACUGGGUAUUGGUUGAAAGGAGUGCAGCUGAAACUGUAACCAAAGGAGGCAUUAUGCUUCCAGAAAAAUCUCAAGGAAAACUACUGCAAGCAACAGUAGUGGCUGUUGGAUCAGGCUCUAAAGGAAAGGGUGGAGAGAUUCAACCAGUUAGUGUGAAAGUUGGAGACAAAGUCCUUCUCCCAGAAUAUGGAGGCACCAAAGUAGUUCUAGAUGACAAGGAUUAUUUCUUAUUUAGAGAUGGUGACAUUCUUGGAAAGUAUGUGGACUGAAAUAAAUCACUAUUGAAAUGGCAUUGACAUGAAGCUCA